This 450-nucleotide ribosomal RNA is filed under the name uncultured bacterium. RNAcentral's name for it is "partial 16S ribosomal RNA". It matches the Rfam family "Bacterial small subunit ribosomal RNA", at positions 354 to 796 of the family's 1533-position model. The record is from RNAcentral.
GUGGGGAAUCUUCCGCAAUGGACGAAAGUCUGACGGAGCAACGCCGCGUGAGUGAAGAAGGUUUUCGGAUCGUAAAGCUCUUUCGUUAGGGACGAACGUGCUCUUUGUGAAUAAUGAGGAGUAAUGACGGUACCUAAAUAAGAAGCCACGGCUAACUACGUGCCAGCAGCCGCGGUAAUACGUAGGUGGCAAGCGUUGUCCGGAAUUAUUGGGCGUAAAGCGCGCGCAGGCGGAUCUGCCAGUCUGUCUUAAAAGUGCGAGGCUCAACCUCGUGAGGGGACAGAAACUGGUAUUCUUGAGUGUCGGAGAGGAAAGUGGAAUUCCAAGUGUAGCGGUGAAAUGCGUAGAGAUUUGGAAGAACACCAGUGGCGAAGGCGACUUUCUGGACGAUGUCUGACGCUGAGGCGCGAAAGCUAGGGGAGCGAACGGGAUUAGAAACCCUAGUAGUCC